UCAGCCUAUAGUGCUCUGACAUUUUGUCGAGCACGUGGUGUGCAUGCUCUGGGCAUGACAAGAGCACACAAUUUGCACGCGGAAGUACUGAGCCGCCGUGUCCCACUGAUUGCAUUUCCGCCGCUCGCCCUGGCCUGCUCGGGUCACCACGUCAUGCUAGAGUACCCCAACCUCCCCCCCAUCGUCCAUCGCACUGACCUGCCACGUCUACAACUUGCCAUUAGAGCCACCGCCGGAAUCUGCCCGUGGACGGAGCCGCCCUGGACAUGUAGCUUUCCCCGAGCCAGCCAGCCUGCCCUGCCAUCACUAAGGGAAGUCACCGUCCACCCGACCACCAUCGGCUUCGCGAGCACCGCACCUGUCCAUCACUGGCCACCGCCUAAAUUGCCGUGGCCGGCGCCGCCCAUUCGCCCCUAGACAACCAGACUACCCUGGAUUAAAUUCGGUCAGCCACCGGCCUCACAUAAUCCACCGUCCACACACCAGCCACCAUCGACCUCCCCAAGCACCUCGAAUCGACAUCAAUGGCGAUCGCCAUGGCAUCCACGUUUGGGAAACUGUGGAACCGAUGUCUUCGUCCUCUAAAAAGGCCACCCCGAGUACUCCCUAGCCACAUGGACCGCUCCUUCUCCCUCUAGACACCCUCUAAUGCAGCGUAUCGAGCCACGGGUGGUUAUCUUCCUCAUCUCUAGUGACCACCUGCGCUGCUACUCUUCUAUAAAAUCCGAAGCGUCCAAUGUCGCCCCACCUCGUUUUGCUGCUAACCAUCUCCCCGAGCCACUACAACCCCAUUCCAUUUGUCAAUUCCACUUAAACCUGACCAAGGACAAAAGCCCCUUUUUACCCAAUGCCGCCGUCUGUCGGAGAAGGCACCUCCGACCACUUCAUCCACUUCACCAGCCAUGGUGACCACCAGGCUCCCAUGGAUCCAUUCAUGGGCCCAGGGUCCCGUGGGGAACCGUUGUUCAAUGUCAGGGAUCACCGGAGCCCUGCCCUGUUCUGCCAAGAGGGACAAGGCGCGUGCGUGGACUAGUCAAACAUGACUGGUGGUCUGUGGGACCCACUGUCACCGACCCAGGAUGCACCAUGUCGAUUUGCAGGUACAACUAAAGAGAUACUUGACGGGAGCGUGUUGAUUGUUAAAUUGGAGUUUCUUCUUCUUCAUCAUCGACCUAGGAUGGUUCUAGGACGACAGCCUAGGAUAGCAAGGAUGGACGUCGUUAUUUUAUCAUUUGUUUUCGUCCGUAGUCGGACCCUGCUCUUCACCAUGAUGAUUUAUGUAUUAUACUCAUGUGACUAUGUAGCUUGUGGUGAGUGUUAGCCAAUUCCAUGUA
Hordeum vulgare subsp. vulgare (domesticated barley) is the source of this 1334-nucleotide long non-coding RNA. RefSeq lists it as uncharacterized. The transcript is spliced from 2 exons. NCBI's taxonomy places the organism in Eukaryota, Viridiplantae, Streptophyta, Magnoliopsida, Poales, Poaceae. The record is from RefSeq and is a predicted model, not a curated record.